AAAAGAAAAAAAACAAGAAAAUAACGAAUAAAAAUUGGAAACGCAUCGCGUCCCAGAUGAUGAUGACGAUACGUGACGACGAAUAAAUUGUUCUUCACGCCUGUUACUUCAAAACGAUUUGCAUAACGCGCGAAAACUUUAGCGUUAAAUUGAUAAAUUACGCCAGACGACGUACUCCGUAUAGUUAGAAUAAUGGAUGUUCAGAGAUACGCGGUUGACUUUAUUGUAUAGAAAAAAUACUUUUAAUACUUGUAUAUACAAUUGAGAACAUUAACAAUUUAAUAUACUAAAAAGAAGAGGAGGUAGGAAUGAGAUUUGAGUCA
Molecule: long non-coding RNA, 323 nt
Organism: Polistes canadensis
Lineage: Eukaryota; Metazoa; Arthropoda; Insecta; Hymenoptera; Vespidae
Exons: 3
Source: RefSeq, a predicted model, not a curated record